This 464-nucleotide ribosomal RNA is filed under the name uncultured bacterium. RNAcentral describes it as "partial 16S ribosomal RNA". It matches the Rfam family "Bacterial small subunit ribosomal RNA", at positions 28 to 507 of the family's 1533-position model. The record is from RNAcentral.
GACGAACGCUGGCGGCGUGCUUAACACAUGCAAGUCGAACGGAAAGGCCCUGCUUGCAGGGUACUCGAGUGGCGAACGGGUGAGUAACACGUGGGUGAUCUGCCCUGCACUUCGGGAUAGCCUGGGAAACUGGGUCUAAUACCGGAUAGGAGCCAUUUUUAGUGUGAUGGUUGGAAAGUUUUUUCGGUGUAGGAUGAGCUCGCGGCCUAUCAGCUUGUUGGUGGGGUAAUGGCCUACCAAGGCGGCGACGGGUAGCCGGCCUGAGAGGGUGGACGGCCACAUUGGGACUGAGAUACGGCCCAGACUCCUACGGGAGGCAGCAGUGGGGAAUAUUGCACAAUGGGCGCAAGCCUGAUGCAGCGACGCCGCGUGGGGGAUGACGGCCUUCGGGUUGUAAACUCCUUUCGCUAGGGACGAAGCUUUUUGUGACGGUACCUAGAUAAGAAGCACCGGCUAACUACGUG